UCCCUGGUGGCUCAGAUGGUAAAGAGUCUGCCUACAAUGCAGGAGACCCAGGUUCAAUCCCUGGGUUGGGAA
RNAcentral lists this transfer RNA (72 nucleotides) under Bos taurus (domestic cattle). It matches the Rfam family "tRNA". From Rfam's summary of the family: Transfer RNA (tRNA) molecules are approximately 80 nucleotides in length. Lineage: Eukaryota; Metazoa; Chordata; Mammalia; Artiodactyla; Bovidae. RNAcentral also lists the same sequence under 3 other names. The record is from Rfam by way of RNAcentral.